RNAcentral lists this ribosomal RNA (608 nucleotides) under uncultured fungus. RNAcentral's name for it is "eukaryotic LSU rRNA". The stretch from base 181 to 334 matches the Rfam family "5.8S ribosomal RNA". The record is from RNAcentral. Lineage: Eukaryota; Fungi.
UCCGUAGGUGAACCUGCGGAAGGAUCAUUAGCGAAUCUAGCGCAUCUACUUUGUAGAGCGUGACCUCCACUUUCUAACUCUGUGCACUUAAUGGCGGAAGAAGAUGUGUAAAAGCUCUUCUUCUGCGGCUCAUUUUAUAACACUAGUUAAAGAAUGUAACGAAAUAUCGAAACAAAAAAAAACUUUCAACAACGGAUCUCUUGGCUCUCGCAUCGAUGAAGAACGCAGCGAAAUGUGAUAAGUAAUGUGAAUUGCAGAAUUCAGUGGAUCAUCGAAUCUUUGAACGCACCUUGCGCUCCCUGGUAUUCCGGGGAGCAUGUCUGUUUGAGUGUCAUGAACUCUUCAACCCACCAGUUUCUUGUAAACUGAAUGGUGUUUGGUUUCUGAGCGUUGCUCGUCCUCUGUGACUGAGCUCGUUCGUAAUAUAUGAGCAUCUCUAAUUCGAAUUCGGAUUGACUCAGUGUAAUAGACUAUUCGCUGAGGACACGCUUUUAGUGUGGCCGAAUAAGAUAAUUGUAGAAGCUUCCAACCCUUCUAGUCAUUUUAAGAUUAGACCUCAGAUCAGAUAGGACUACCCGCUGAACUUAAGCAUAUCAAUAAGCGGAGGA